This 628-nucleotide ribosomal RNA is filed under the name uncultured bacterium. RNAcentral's name for it is "bacterial SSU rRNA". It matches the Rfam family "Bacterial small subunit ribosomal RNA", at positions 56 to 680 of the family's 1533-position model. The record is from RNAcentral.
UGCAGUCGAACGGUAGCAGGAAGUGCUUGCACUUUGCUGACGAGUGGCGGACGGGUGAGUAAUACUUAGGAACAUGCCUUUGUGUGGGGGAUAACCAUUGGAAACGAUGGCUAAUACCGCAUAAUGUCUUUGGACCAAAGAGGGCUUUCGGGCUCUCGCGCAAAGAGUGGCCUAAGUGAGAUUAGCUUGUUGGUGAGGUAAAGGCUCACCAAGGCGACGAUCUCUAGCUGUUCUGAGAGGAAGAUCAGCCACACUGGGACUGAGACACGGCCCAGACUCCUACGGGAGGCAGCAGUGGGGAAUAUUGCACAAUGGGGGCAACCCUGAUGCAGCCAUGCCGCGUGUGUGAAGAAGGCCUUCGGGUUGUAAAGCACUUUCAGUUGUGAGGAAAGGUUGAUGGUUAAUACCCAUCAGCUGUGACGUUAGCAACAGAAGAAGCACCGGCUAACUCCGUGCCAGCAGCCGCGGUAAUACGGAGGGUGCGAGCGUUAAUCGGAAUUACUGGGCGUAAAGCGCACGCAGGCGGUUAUAUAAGCUAGAUGUGAAAGCCCCGGGCUCAACCUGGGAAUAGCAUUUAGAACUGUAUGACUAGAGUCUUGGAGAGGGGGGUGGAAUUCCAGGUGUAGCG